CAAUGCCUACGGGACGCAGCAGUGGGGAAUAUUGCACAAUGGGGGAAACCCUGAUGCAGCGACGCCGCGUGAGUGAAGAAGUAUUUCGGUAUGUAAAGCUCUAUCAGCAGGGAAGAAGUUGACGGUACCUGAGUAAGAAGCCCCGGCUAACUACGUGCCAGCAGCCGCGGUAAUACGUAGGGGGCAAGCGUUAUCCGGAUUUACUGGGUGUAAAGGGAGCGUAGACGGCAGUGCAAGUCUGAAGUGAAAGCCCCGGGCUUAACCCGGGAACUGCUUUGGAAACUGUACGGCUG
This 293-nucleotide ribosomal RNA is filed under the name uncultured bacterium. Its description in RNAcentral is "partial 16S ribosomal RNA". It matches the Rfam family "Bacterial small subunit ribosomal RNA", at positions 333 to 643 of the family's 1533-position model. The record is from RNAcentral.